This 463-nucleotide long non-coding RNA is filed under the name Junco hyemalis (dark-eyed junco). Its description in RNAcentral is "lncRNA (ENSJHYG00000016723.1)". Lineage: Eukaryota; Metazoa; Chordata; Aves; Passeriformes; Passerellidae. The record is from RNAcentral.
GUGAUCUUUAAGAUCUGUGGAAGAAAUAGAAGAUAGUGCUAUGACUUCCAAGAUGUGUCUCAUGGGAAGGAUCACUUAAAUGACACUUGUUGGUUGGUAAUGACUCUUUUUGAUGUUUGCUCACUUCUUCAAGCAAAGGUUUGUUAUGAGAGAGAUCUACUUUACUUCUGAAUAACCUGUGUCUGGUUAGGAAGACUAAGAUGGAAAGAAAUGGCUUCAUCCCAUUCAAGAUGACACAUGCAGCUCAAAAAAUGGGAACUUUGGGCUGCUUGGAAAUCAAGGUCACCUGAAGAAAUCUUUACACACCUCCAAUGUUUCCUGAAGGGACAUUUUGGAUCAGAAGAAAACAGAGAUCUAAUCUAAUGGUAACUUGUUUGUUUCUUGGGUUCAUUACUUGAUGUUUUCUGACAUUAACUGUAACAUGCUCCAGUAAGAGAAAUCACCAUUGCUUGUUACAAUGGCA